CAGCCGCCGCGGGAAUACGGAGGGUGCAAGCGUUAAUCGGAAUUACUGGGCGUAAAGCGUGCGUAGGCGGUUCGUUAAGUCUGUUGUGAAAGCCCCGGGCUCAACCUGGAAUGGCAAUGGAUACUGGCGAGCUAGAGUGUGUCAGAGGAUGGUGGAAUUCCCGGUGUAGCGGUGAAAUGCGUAGAGAUCGGGAGGAACAUCAGUGGCGAAGGCGGCCAUCUGGGACAACACUGACGCUGAGGCACGAAAGCGUGGGGAGCAAACAGGAUUAGAUACCCAGUAGUCCCUGUCUCUUAUACAC
This 301-nucleotide ribosomal RNA is filed under the name uncultured bacterium. Its description in RNAcentral is "partial 16S ribosomal RNA". It matches the Rfam family "Bacterial small subunit ribosomal RNA", at positions 509 to 809 of the family's 1533-position model. The record is from RNAcentral.